GAUGAACGCUGGCGGCGUGCCUAAUACAUGCAAGUCGAGCGAACGGACGAGAAGCUUGCUUCUCUGACGUUAGCGGCGGACGGGCGAGUAACACGUGGAUAACCUACCUAUAAGACUGGGAUAACUUCGGGAAACCGUAGCUAAUACCGGAUAAUAUUUUGAACCGCAUGGUUCAAAAGUGAAAGACGGUCUUGCUGUCACUUAUAGAUGGAUCCGCGCUGCAUUAGCUAGUUGGUAAGGUAACGGCUUACCAAGGCAACGAUGCAUAGCCGACCUGAGAGGGUGAUCGGCCACACUGGAACUGAGACACGGUCCUGACUCCUACGGGAGGCAGCAGUAGGGAAUCGUACGCAAUGGGCGAGAGCCUGACGGAGCAACGCCGCGUGAGUGAUGAAAGUCUUCGGAUCGUAAAACUCUGUUAUUAGGGGAGAACAUAUGUGUAAUUAACUGUACACAUCGUGACGGUACCUAGUAAGAAAGCCACGGCUAACUACGUG
Molecule: ribosomal RNA, 497 nt
Filed under: uncultured bacterium
Lineage: Bacteria
Description: partial 16S ribosomal RNA
Rfam family: Bacterial small subunit ribosomal RNA
Source: RNAcentral